CCUUUUUCCCUCUCUUUCACGCUUCAAAGCUCAGGUAUGACAGAUUUCUGUAAAAUUUCUGUAAAAUUAUCAGUCUUUCGGUGACUCUGAUUGCUAGGAGUACUUGGAAUGUGGUGAGGAGAGCUCAGUCAAUUGGAAGGAAGGUUGCUAGGAUUUGGAAAAAUGGGUUCAAAUACUCUGUGAUCUGCUCAUCCUUAAACAGAAUGAAUUGCACCGGAUCAUGCUUCCAUUUAUGAUUAACUGCUCCUUUCUAGGAAAGUAUACCACAAUCUAGAUUUGGUGGUGAUCUUCAACAUGAUGUCCAGAAAGGGGAUACAGUGAUUAAUGCCACUUGUGGCAAUGGUUAUGAUACUUUAGCAAUGGUCAUUAUACUUGCUGAUGAAUUAGCCAGGGUUGUGUUUAUGCAAUGGAUAUUCAGAAUGAUGCUUUAGAGAAUAAGAUUUGUACAUGUGCAAUUUGUCUACUAUACGCAGAGGUGGAUCUCUUUUCCAUAAUAUCCUUCUUAUCUGCACAA
Quercus robur (English oak) is the source of this 514-nucleotide long non-coding RNA. RefSeq lists it as uncharacterized. The transcript is spliced from 2 exons. Lineage: Eukaryota; Viridiplantae; Streptophyta; Magnoliopsida; Fagales; Fagaceae. The record is from RefSeq and is a predicted model, not a curated record.